UUUUCAAUAAUUUAUCUUGUUGCAAAUUUAACCAUAUUAGUAGUUCUCGAGCAAUAACCAGAAAAUGGUUGAAAACUUGGUGUUUAAUCGCCAUUUUGAAAGUAAUUGAUGGUGCAGCCGAACGUGUUCUUCAAUUAUUUUCUUUAAUUGCUAUAGUUCACCUGUCCUUGAAAAUCGAAUUAUCAUGAAGGAGUUUCUAAAAGUGCGCCAAGUGAGAGCUCCGCUUCCAGUUCCAAUAAUUACGGGAAAAGCUGUGCCGGUUCAUCGUUGAAGUCACACCUAACAAAAAUAAAAGCAUCGUAAUCGGUCCCCACACCAUCCGGAAGGUGUACAAUUAUGCAAUGAAGAAGCCUAGAAUGACGCUCCUGGUAGUACCUGGCAAAAGAGUAUCGUGGAUUCAUCUGGAUGUGGUAUCUUUUCAUUCGUACAAAAUGAAACCCCGAAUGAUGGCGGAGAAGGCCUGGAUGAAGCUACAUCCAAACAUGGUCGAGAAGAAGAUCUGGUUUAUCAUUGGCGAAAACAAUCGACUUCCUAGGAUCGAAGCAUAUCCAAACCUGCCUCCACAUUUGAUCGGAAGAUUUCCUCUUACGCGUUAAACUUCGGGUUGGCAACAAGAGUGUCCGAUAUUACGGCUAGUUUUCUCUAAUCAGAGCAGUCGAAAAUUUGCCUCGGGCAGAUCCGGAAACCUGUGAGAUGCGAGUUUUCAUCGAGGAUGCUGCUAGUGGGAAACGGUGAGGCGUCAGAUAAGCCAGCAAUUGAGCUAAACACGGAGCUAGAAGAGCUAGUAAAUGGUCCAGGCCAAGUCAAGUGGACAGUCUCAGAUGGUGUAAGAAGCUGCCAGUCAGAUUGGAUUUAAGACGUUCCCGAGAAAAUGGUCGAAAACCAUCAACGCGAAACUUUGAACGUUCCUGUAGGCGUGGCGGCAUGAAGGAAAAUCACAUUAAAAUCACCAAGCAUUUCGAGCUAUGUGCAAUUUUCCCAUCAGCCCAACGCCCAAAACUCCUGACCCACCCCACCCCAGAAAGUUGCGUCUUCAGCAAUACUAGAGCAACAUUCAUUGAUCAGUUAGGUUACUCAGAAAGUAAAUCAUUGGAAACCUUUAUUGAAAUGUUUAUAGUUUUUUGAGGAUUCGUUAACGUUCAAAACUUCUAGUGUUAGGUGCUGAAAAGCAAGUCAAAUUGUAAAACAGAUUCUAGGACAACGUAAGUUUUGAAAAAAAUGAUUCAGCCCAAAGACAAAAAGCAAAUCAAUUAUCGAGUUUCGACAACAACCAAUUCAGUUAUUUUAGUUUCAAGCUGCAGUUCGUCACUACAAAAGGAAAGGAAGCAAAUAUUAGGAAAUUAAAUUAUUGUGGUCGCCCCAUCUAUAUUAUUGUUAGAUCAAUUGAUAUGUAGAAACUAUCCGGAACAAUCGGUUAAAGCACAUUUUAAGACCUAAAAAGAACUAUUAUUUGAUAUCGGAUCUGAUCCAACCAAGAAAAUUGUUUGUGUAGA
Uranotaenia lowii is the source of this 1493-nucleotide long non-coding RNA. RefSeq lists it as uncharacterized. NCBI's taxonomy places the organism in Eukaryota, Metazoa, Arthropoda, Insecta, Diptera, Culicidae. The transcript has 3 exons. The record is from RefSeq and is a predicted model, not a curated record.